Molecule: ribosomal RNA, 253 nt
Filed under: uncultured bacterium
Lineage: Bacteria
Description: partial 16S ribosomal RNA
Rfam family: Bacterial small subunit ribosomal RNA
Source: RNAcentral
GACGGUGGGUGCGAGCGUUAUUCGGAAUCAUUGGGCGUAAAGAGCGUGUAGGCGGCCGGUUAAGUCAGGUGUGAAAGCCCGGGGCUCAACCUCGGAAGUGCACUUGAAACUGGUCGGCUUGAGUUCGGGAGAGGGUAGCUGAAUUCCUGGUGUAGAGUUGAAAUUAGUAGAUAUCAGGAGGAACAUCGGUGGCGAAGGCGGCUACCUGGACCGAAACUGACGCUGAGACGCGAAAGCGUGGGGAGCAAACAGG